CCUACGUGGGGCAGCAGUGAGGAAUAUUGCUCAAUGGGCGCGAGCCUGACCCAGCGACGCCGCGUGAGGGAUGACUGCCCUACGGGUUGUAACCUUCUUUUAUAAAGGAAUAAAGUGACUCACGUGUGCCUUAUUGUAUGUACUUUACGAACAAGGAUCGGACAACUCCGUGCCAGCAGCCGCGGUAAUACGGAGGAGCCGUGCGUUAGCCGGAUUUAUUGGGUUUAAAGGGAGCGUAGGUGGGAUGUUAAGUCAGGUGUGAAAGGUUGGGGCUCAACCGGAAAAUUGCAAUUGAUACUGGCAGUCUUGAGUGUAGGUGAGGAAGGCGGAAUUCGAGGUGUAGCAGUGAAAUGCUUAGAUAUCACGAGGAACACCGGUUGCGAAGGCAGCUUACUAGAC
RNAcentral lists this ribosomal RNA (399 nucleotides) under uncultured bacterium. Its description in RNAcentral is "partial 16S ribosomal RNA". It matches the Rfam family "Bacterial small subunit ribosomal RNA", at positions 338 to 734 of the family's 1533-position model. The record is from RNAcentral.